GCAGCUGAGAAGAGUCCAAGCUCGCUGGGCUCAUAACCCAGAGGUCGCAGGUUCAAAUCCUGUCCCCGCUACU
This 73-nucleotide transfer RNA is filed under the name Streptomyces sp. Root63. Its description in RNAcentral is "tRNA-Met". It matches the Rfam family "tRNA", at positions 12 to 71 of the family's 71-position model. Rfam says of the family: Transfer RNA (tRNA) molecules are approximately 80 nucleotides in length. Lineage: Bacteria; Bacillati; Actinomycetota; Actinomycetes; Kitasatosporales; Streptomycetaceae. The record is from RNAcentral.